UACUUAUCAUAAUUAUCAUGCUCCCACUAACAUGAUGAUUAUUAGCAUAACACUUAUGCUCCCACUAGCUUUGACAUGUACUCAGAAAUCAGCUGGACUUCUAGAAAUCAAUACUUUAUUGACUUUCUUACCAAAGUUUAGAUUUCUGAUACUAGAUUGCUUUGAUAAAACUUUAUCAUAAUCAUACACUUUAUCUUAGAUAGCUCACAGGUGUGUCUAAACAAUUUUAAGAACUAUGAAAAGGGAUUCCGUAAUCAUAGUCUUGAUUGUUUAGACCUUUGCCACUUUUCACAAGUUGAUGUUAGUGUGCCAGUAAACCACACACACUCCACUAACGACGUUGAGAAUGCAAAUAUCACAAUUGCUAUCUAGCUAAAAUCUAUUAGUGAAAGUGUUUCCUCACCAUCAUUUUCAUGAAUCGGACAGAAACCUUAUGACACUUAGAUUUAAUGGUGUAUGUGUUCUUAUCCAUGUGAAUUGUCAAAACCAUAGUCACAAGACAAGGAUAAUGACAAAUCCAAGCUCAUAUGGACUGAACUCAAUCUUAAUUUCUUGCCAUCUGGCAGCUCAAGGGCCUGCCAUUGCUUCCAAGUUAUUGUGCAACCAAUUGAGAACUCUAAGAACUCAUAUGUAAAGCCAACUUUAAUUGGAAUGGACACAGAAUAUGUCAACACGAUAGGUUAUGAACCUCAAGUCGUGUGCUAGUGAAGAACUUCAGGUUUUAUUCUUGAUUAGUUUUUGAGACUUUCAAGACCUUUAAGACUCCCACUCUCCUCUUGACAUAUAAGACUUUCUUGUCAGAUAUUCAAGAGAUAGUGUGGAUUCUAAUCAAGACAAACACUUCAUACAAUUGGCGUUAGUUGGUCUUUGUUUUAUCCAAAACAUCACAACUUACCAAUUUAAAAUGUACAUGAGUAGAAAACUUUUACUCUUACAUUUGACAAGUGUUUUAAACCUUGUUUAAGAGAUGUAACUCAAGUUACAAUCUUGGAGUAUGAGUCUAAGACUUUUAUUGGAACGAAGUAUGACUCGUCUUCUUGAUUUAACCAUUUCAACAAUUCAAGAUUCCUCUUCUUAGUCAUAAGAAUGCACCAAGAUUCCCUUAGAGAAAUAAUUGUGCUACAGUUUCUUAAUCAUUAAGAUGAUCACACAACUAAUACUAAAUUACUCACCCAUCUUUUCAGAUUUGAGAAACUUUUAUCUUUCUACCUAAGUUGAUUCUUCUUAUUCGCUCUGCCUUACAUUGGAACCUUUUCCAAUGUCUUAGAGUUACACUUAAGCUUGUAAGUAUAAUCAUAUUUACCGAGCUUUAGUAAACUAUGACGAAUAGUCUUAUCGANCUUACAUUGAAACUUUUCCAAUGUUUCAGAAUUAUACUUAAACUUGUAAGUAUAACCAUAUUUACUGAACUUAAGUAAAUCAUGACGAAUAGUCUAGUCGAUCUUUUGUGGUUGACUUAAUCAGUGCACAAGAAUGUGUACUCGAUCCCUUAGUUCGUUACUUGACUGACACAUCCAUGUGAAGAAGUAGUUAGUCUUAAUUUUCGAAAGAUGAAAAAUUCUCAGUCAUCAUGCUAUACAACUUGCAUGAUUCCAAGUUCCUGUCCAAUUGAAACUUGGGUGAUGAGGAUCUCUCCUUAUUUGGUAAAUUUAGACAUUACCACAAAUGAAAGAAUCAAUUUCAUAUUUCCACUCUUGCUAUUAAUGGAAUCAUAUAAGCAACAAGUUUUUUUUUUCACAAAUGACAUUGUAAGGAUAAUUUAAAAUAAAUAAAAUCAAAACUUUUCCUUUUAUUUUAUAAACAUUGCGGAAAAACUAUCCUUACAGUGCAAAAGCACAUGAAAACUUUGUUGUUAUCUAUUCCUAAGCAAUAUAUUAUAACUCCUAAGAAGUAGCUCAAGAAUCCGAUCUUCAAUCUAUGCGAUAGAAAUCCAUCUACGCGAUCAGAUUCAGCAUAUUCUUUCUUUAAGUUUCUUCACUUUUCUUUGAUUCUUAAAACAUCACCAUGUGACCCAGUCACAUCAUGUAUCAAGAAUCUCAGAAUAGAAACUUAGCAGAGUUAGAUAGUGGACUUUACCUGAAGUAGAGUCAAACUAUUGACUUUAACAUCCUUAGGGAAAAUUGGCAGCUUCGCAACUAAUGCCCCUUCCUUUGGCAAUGGACCCUUGAUUAUGGGACUAUCUCAGACUUAGCCUCUCUCUUUACCAUUUGGUCAACUGAGUUGACUAUGGCCGAUCCCUUUCCAUUGGGAAGAGAAAGCUUUACUGGAUAUCCAAUGUCAUCAUUGUCAAUGUCCAUAAAGUUUUAGGAAGUUGAUCUUAGCAAAUAGAUAAGAUCAUUAAGGGUCUUGUCAUAGUCUGUUUCAUAGGUGUCCCAAAGGAACUCACUAUGUGACUUAGAAAGUGAUUGAACCACCAACUUUCUCAAGACUUUGACACCCAACUCUCCCGACUUGUCAAUAUGUGACUACAUCUCCAAGGUAUGAUCACACAUAGACCUUUGCUUCCCAAUAGGGCUUGAGUGACCUUAAACUGUUCAAGAACUUGUGGGUUAGGGAGAAUAAUUGGAGGAGGUGAAAGAAGUAUGAUUUCCAUGGGACAUCAUCUUCAUUUAGGAAAGCUUGUUUCAAGAGAUUUGGGAAGAUCAUAAAUGUCUAAACCAGACAUCUUUUGGGAGAUAUUCAAGAUAGUUGAUUUAAAGUCCUUAAUAUGACACCCAAUAUGAAAUAUUAAGGCUAGGACCCAACAAACUAUUUUAUAACUUAGAAGAGGUAUGCCGUAAUCCAAGCUAUAAAAUAUUUGAAGGUAGGUGAAUGACGAUUCACCAAUUUCCACCAAGAUAAACGAAAUGUAUUAUUAGGUUUUAAUUGGUUUUGAAACUCCUAGAUCUUUGAGAUUCAUUGAACUUUUCAAAGGCAUGUUUCAAUCUCGAGUGUGCCCUUCAGGUUUUGUGACUGGGAUGCCGAGGAUCACAAAACAAGGUGUGAAGUAACCAUGCAAAUCACUUGGUACCCUUAAUAAAUUACCCCUCAAUCGAUGUGCCGGUUAACCACACACGCUCCAUCGAUACUAUGAUAAAUAUUAAGUCACCCUUUACCUACCUUGUUAAGUCCAAGUUAGUGUGCCGGUUAACCACACACGCUCCACUAACGACUUAGACAAAGUGUAAAGUGUAAUUUCAUGGAUUAGCACCUUAUUCACAUUUUUCCUAAGUAACUAAGAUUGGGUAUUAUUAAGAGUUUAGUUACUUAGUAUUAUCAUUAAUACUUUUAAUGAAGGGAGAAUUCUAGUCCUGUCAAACCCGUUCGGCUAACGACCCUCCACCAGUCAAGCAAGCGGUGGGUGAGAGUGGACACCCAUUAAGUUGCCAUUUUAUAGGCAACAACCUUAUACCCACCUUAUAGACCGGCUUCGUGAAUGAGGCGUACUAGCGGUAAGACUGACUUUACUCUUAUACAUAUAUAUAUUAUUAACUUAUAAUAUUAUAAAGUAUAAGGGUUGAAUUUUAACUUUUAAAAUUCUAAGGGCUAACUUGGAAUUAAAGUAUUCAUAAGUGAAAACUUUACAAAUUCCAAAACUUGAGGGCAAGUUUUGAAACUAUUCAAAACUAAUUAAUUCCAUAACUUAUGAGUUUAAAGUAGUUUUAAUUAAAAGACUCUUCAAGUUCCAUAACUUGAGAACAAGUUAUAGAAGACUUUAAACUAAUAAAAGAAUGUAACUUUCUUUAUUUUAUAACUUAUGGAAUUAAUUAAGGUUACACCUUUUUNUAACUUGAGGACAAGUUAUGGAAGACUUUAAACUAAUAAAAGAAUGUAACUUUUCUUUAUUUUGUAACUUAUGGAAUUAAUUAAGGUUACACAUUUUAUUACUUAAUGAAGUGACUCUUGAACCUCCAUAACUUGAGGACAAGACUCUUCAUCUUUUGUAACCAUUGCCAACUUUUAUGAGUUUUAUGAAACUUAAAUGUGACUUUUCAUAUAACUUGAGGACAAGUUACAAAAACACAUUUUAGAAUCAACUCUUAUAUUAAAAUGGAUUGAAAACACAUAAUCAAUUAACUUUUCUAUUAAUCUAAGCAACUCAUAAGAACAAGAUAAUUCAAAUAAAAAAUUUUCAUGUAAUUAGUAUAAACUUUAAACUAAUACAAAACAUGAAUCUAUUGACAAUUAUCUUUGAAAUAGGAUUAUCAUUAACAUUACCACAUCAAAAACAAGUUUAGAAGUCCAAAAACAUCUUAGGGUAAUGUUCCUAGUCCAAUUCCAGCCAAAACAAUCAAAUAUAUGUUGUCUGGGUGUCCAACUCGUCGAGUGCACGAGCAAACUCAGCGAGUUGGAUGCAUUUUGCCUUGGACUCGGUGAGUCCAUCAGUGGACUCGGUGAUUCUGCUGAGCAGACAGCAUAAAAACUUGAUUUUUCAGCAAAUUUUGCAAGUAUAACCGGAAAACAAGCCUAGUUUCUGAUACCAUUGUUGUGUUUUGAGCAUUCUAACACUCCUAAGUGUACAUGCAACCCUAAAUACCUUGGAUCUAUGUUUUCUCUAUUAUACGUGCAAAUAUGAACUUUCCAAGGUAUUCAUCCUAACUAGCACAAUAACAUUGAUUCAUAUGAAUAUAUCAAGUUAGAAUUACAUACCUCUUUGAAGUAGAUUGUCUUCUUGAAGCUUGAGUGCCUAGUGCCCCAAGUGUGACACCUCAAAUGGUUCACACAACACCAAAUACACAUGGAAUGACUUGAGAGAAAUUGGAACACUUCAUAAAAUCGGCUAGCCCUUUCUAUUACUCAUAGUGGCCGAUUUCUUGAGCCAUGAGAUUCUUUUAUAUGGUGGCUAUUAGUGUUACAUCAUGUAACUCACAACUUUACCCUUUCCUUAUGCUCUAUGGAUUUUAACCUCCAUGGAGUAUCCAUGGGUCACCCCAUGGACUUAGUCCUACAUAAGGAAUCUUGGAUCACAAGCCCACAUAUAAAAGAAUGAAUGAUUUACACAAUCAACCCAUAUAUUUAAUUAGUCUCCUUUUGAUCACUUAAUUAAUUCCAAAUUAAAUCUUGAUCAAUACUAAUUAAACAAACUUAUUAAUAUAUUUGAACUUAUAAUAUAUUAACAAACCUUAAGUAUUAUUUCUCUCAUUUUAGUCUAUCCAAAUGCAUGAUGCCAUGCAACCCAAACAUGUCGGGUCAUGUCAAGUCUUACCAAUUAUAAUUAUGAACAUAGACAUUAAUCCAACACACAUGUGGAUGGAUGUGGUCAAGGACUAUGAUUGCAAAAUCCUUUACCAUCCUGGUAAAGCUAAUGUGGUUGCGGAUGCUCUGAGCCGCAAGUCAGCUAGGUCCGCGACCCCAGCCAGGUGUGUGAGGAUAGUGGUGGAUUCCCCACUGGUGGGUUUGAUCAAUGUCACACCCCCAAACUAGAAAGGCGGAAACGUUCAGGGGUGGAGGACGUCAUAUUCAGUAUCAUAACAAUUGCGUAGUAAGGAAAGUACACACCACCAAAUAUAUAAAUAUUUAAAAGUGUUUACAUAAUCAUAGUUGUUACAUAUUCAAAAUAUAAAUACAAUAACAUGUUUCAAAAGAAGUCAUUAACGCCAGAACGUUAAUCCCCAAAAGAUGAUUUCCAAACCUGCUUAGUGGUUCCCUAAGAAUACAAGUUAUUUCAAAGAAAAAGUGUCAACAUUGAAGUUGGUGAGUUCAUAAGCAGUUUUGAGAAAAAUGUAAGCCAUUCCAAAGUUCGUACGUUUUCCAAGAAAUCCCUUAUUUUCUUAUAAAAGUAUGAAAUGCAUACUGAUGUUCGUGUUGUGAAUUGUAAAUAGUUGCACCAGGAAAAUCCCUUAUUUUCCUAUUAGUUGAUUGUUUUAGAUACACGAAAAUCCCUUAUCUUCCUAAAGUAGCAGGCAGUCUCUAAUGUCGAAUACCGAAAAUCGCAAGCAACUGACAUGCUUAAAAGGUUGAUACAUAGUUUUAUAUAAUAGAGCUAUCAGAAGAUCGCACUUGUUAGAUGAAGAAUAGUUUUAAUAACUAGUCAAUCAUGAAAUCAGAAUACCAUAAUAAUUGUCUACCUAGUGUGUUUUAUAACCAUACUAAACAUAAUAUGCCUGUGGUGACGGUCUUCAGACGUCGAAACGUUUAUGACAAACUGUCACCCAAAGGACUGUACCUAACAUUCAGGGCGUGGGAUCAUGACUUCCUGUAUAGAUCUAUACACAUUUAACACGCUCUCCAAAUAGGAGACUCUGGUUAUCAUAAACAGGACUUUAAGUUGUAACUUUUCGCAAAAAGGUAGUGUUGAAGAUGUAAAUGUCUCACGGGUUCUCAACUAAGUCUGUAUUAAGGUGAUAGUUUUGUAUACAAUGUUUAUUCUCUUUAACAAUGUUUGACUAAGCAUAAAUCUUAAGUUUUCUGAAUGCAUAAAAUGGUUUAACAAGGAUGACUACCCUGAAUACUAUGCAUUUUGUAUAAACCUAGUGCAUGCAGGAUAUAACAAGAGUUUUCACGUUUUCACUCGGGAUUAACCGGGUGUUUACUUGUAUUCUCCCCCGAAAUGUAUUAAAAGUACAUUAUAAAGUAUUUGAAGGUGUAUAAAAGGGGUAUGAACUCACUUGAUUGAAGUGGUUGCUUUGAAGUAGUCGAGAGAAGAAUCGAUUAGAACUUCGAUAGGAAAAGCUGAAAACGCGGAAAAAUCUCGGGAUUCUCGAGACUCUCGAGAGUGUAGACCUUCCUUCGGGAGAUGAGUGUGAAAACCGGGGCUUCGGGAUGGCUUAUCGAGGUAAUUACGCAGAGUAACAGCACUUAGAUGGAAAGAGAUGAGCACCAAACCUGGCACCCUUAAGCUUCUAUUUAUAGGGGAAGAAUUUGGGUGCUACGUCGUGGAAAAGGGUUGGCCACGUCCUGGUGGGCUGCCUUAUCCUCUUCCAUUGAUUGGAUGCCCUCAGUCACUUGCCGGGUCGCGGCCAGCUGUGCCGCGUCGUGGCAGACCUAACAGCCUCGAAUUUUGAGCUUUAAACUUGUAAAAUCCGUAACUUGCAAGCACAAGCUCCGUUUUCGACGUCCUUUAUAUGCACGCGUAGGUGAGAAUAUUCUCCACAACUCUCGUUUAGACUCUGCCGGCUAGUUGUGAGUUUAUUUUUAAUAAUACCUAUUUAACAGGCUGUGACUGGAAAAGCCCGUUAAAAAUCCAUAACUUCUUCAUCCGGCGUCUGUUUUUGCCAGACUUUUUACGGUUGCGCUACUUUGGUUGAGACCUUCGAUUCUCAUUUAGGUUGUUUCGGCCAAGAGUCUCUCGAUCUCUAUUUCGAGUUUUUAGCUGUCUACUGCUAUAUCCGAAUCUUGGAAAAACCAUAACUUCCUCAUACGAAGUCAGAUUUGGACGUUCUUUUUAUGUACGCUCAUGGUUUAAUGAUAUCUACAACUUUCAUUUAGAUACUUAAGGCUAAAAACUAUUGUAUUGAAACUUUGCGUUUUUCGUUUAAUCGGUGUUGUCGGUUUUGUCGGAAAUCUUAGAAUGGUCAUAACUUCUUCGUUAUAACUCGGAUUUUAGUGUUGUUAGUAUUUCUGUAAACCUUGACACAAUAUCUAGUAUAGUAGGUAACCCAAUAGAUAAAUUUGUACAUUUUACUUUCGAAGUUAAUUUCAUUAUUUCAAAAGUGGUUACAAUACUUGACUUUUUAGGUCAUUACAUAGAGUCGAAAUAUCGGGUUGUCACAUCAUCCCCCCAUUAGAGGGAAUUUCUUCCUGAAAUUUAAUGUAAGAAAAACACUUGUGGAUUAGGGAAAAAGAUGUGGGUACUUGUGUUUCAUCUGAUCUUCGCGUUCCCAAGUGUAUUUAGGUCCUUGCUUUGCAUUCCAGCGGACCUUCACGAUGGGUAUGCGACUUUGUUUAGUUCGUUUGAUUUCCCUAUCCAUGAUCUCGACGGGUUCUUCCACAAAGUUAAGAUUUUAGUUUAGUUCGAUUUCGUCUAGUGGAAUCACAGGAUUUUCGUCGGAAAAACACUUUUUCAGGUUAGAUACGUGAAACACUAGAUGUACUUUGUUAAGCUCGAUUGGAAGUUGAAGUCUAUAAGCCACUGGACCAAUCCUUAAAGUAAUUUCGAAGGGUCCAAUGUACCUUGGAUUUAGUUUUGCAUGCUUCCCAAAGCGUAUCAUCCCCUUCCGGGGUGAGACCUUUAGUAGAACGCGGUCACCAACCUCAAAUUCCAAGGGUUUUCGUCUUUUGUCGGCAUAGCUCUUUUGCCUAUCCCUCGAGGCUUUCAGACGUUCUCGAAUUUGGACGAUCUUUUUAGUUAUUUCUCUAAUGAUCUCCAGACAAGUGAGAGUGCUAUCAGGGACUAAUCCUUUUGCCAAAUGCAUGUCGCCUACUUCCGCCUGGCACAGAGGUGAUCUGCACUUACGGUCGUAAAGGGAUUCAAAUGGAGCAAUCUUGAUACUAGUAUGAUAACUAUUGUUAUAAGAGAACUCGACUAAUGGUAAGUGAGCAUCCCACGCUUUACCAAAGUUGAUUACAUAUGCUCGCAACAUGUCUUCUAGGGUAUAGAUCGUUCUCUCACUCUGUCCGUCAGUUUGCGGGUGAUAGGCUGUACUCAUAUCCAACCUUGUUCCCAUGGAUUUUUGCAACGAUUUCCAGAAUCUAGAAGUGAAUCUAUUGUCUCUGUCCGAGAUGAUAGACGUCGGCACUCCAUGUAGUCGCACGAUCUCUCGGAUGUAGGUUCUCGUUAGCUUUUCCAUCUUAUCAGUUUCCUUGAUCAGUAAGAAAUGAGCAGACUUGGUUAGUCUGUCGACGAUCACCCAAAUGGUGUCGUGACCACCUUGAGUCUUGGGUAGUUUUGUUAUUGAUUCCAUGGAAAUUUGUUCUCAUUUCCACUCAGGUAUUUCGGGUUGAUGGAGUAGGACUGAGGGCUUAUGGUGUUCUACUUUUAUCUUGGCGGAGGUCAAACACUUGCUCACAUAGAUAGCAAUUUCUACUUUCAUUUUUGGCCACCAAUAGAUUUGUUUGAUAUCCGGAUACAUCUUAUCUGAACCUGGGUCUACGGAGUAUGGGGUCUUGUGUGCUUCGUUCAUAAUUAUCUCUCUGACCCACCAAACUUUGGUGUCCAGAUUCGAUCCAUGAGUUAGCGCACUCUGUCACUCUUGAUUUCUAGAUUCUUGUCCAUCCCUCUAAGGGUUUCAUCCAUUAUGUUUUCGGGUUUCAAGGCUUCUAUUUGAUCUUCCUUGAUUUGUGUCGAUAGAUGGGAAUGGAUUGACAUGGUUAGUGACUUCACUCUUCGACCAGAUUACUCCUUACGACUAAGGGCAUCAGCUACUACAUUCGCCUUUCUCGGAUGGUAUCGAAUCUCACAUUCGUAGUUGUUGAGCAAUUCGACCCAAGGUCGUUGUCUCAUGUUCAACUCCUUCUGGUCGAGUAUGUGAUGGAGGCUCUUGUGGUCUGUAAAUAUGGUGCACUUGGUACCGUAAAGGUAGUGCCUCUAAAUUUUUAGAGCGAAGACCACAGCUCCAAGUUCUAAGUCAUGCGUGGUGUAGUUGACUUCGUGUGUUUUCAGUUGUCGUGAGGAAUACGCAAUAACCUUUCCUCGCUGCAUUAGCACACAUCCUAACCCUUGGUUCGAAGCAUCGCAAUACACCACAAAAUCCUUGAUCCCCUCUGGAAGAGAAAGAAUGGGUGCACUGCAUAGGGCAUGUUUCAGGGUUUGAAAUGCAACAUGUUGCUUUUCUCCCCAGUUGUAGGUCACACCUUUAUGAGUUAGGGAGGUAAGAGGCUUUGCGAUCCUGGAGAAGCUCUGAAUGAACCUUCGAUAAUAACCAGCAAGGCCUAGAAAUUGGCGAAUCUCCGUUGGUGUAGUUGGUGCAGACCAAUUUUCGAUAUCCUUGAUCAUAGAUGGGUCCACGUGGAUUUCUUUUUCGCUGAUCACGUGACCUAGGAAGUCUACCUUCCUAAUCCAAAACUCGCAUUUUGAGAACUUCACAUAAAGUCUCUUAGCUCGUAAUGUCUCUAAGACUUGUCUCAGAUGUUUGCCAUGCUCUUAUUUACUCUUUGAAUAAAUGAGUAUGUCGUCUAUGAAUACUAUCACAAAUUUAUCCAAGAAUGGACGACACAUUCGAUUCAUUAAGUCCAUGAAUACGACAGUGACAUUGGUUAGUACGAACAGCAUAACUACAAACUCGUAAUGCCCGUAUCUUGUUCGGAAGGUAUUCUUGGGAAUAUCACUCUCCAGGACUCGCAGUUGGUGAUAUCCCGAUCUCAGAUUGAUCUUGGAGAAGUAGUUGGCUCCUUGGAGUUGGUCGAAUAAGUCGCCGAUACGGGGUAGAGGAUAUCAGUUGUUGAUGGUACGUUUGUUGAGCUCUCAGUAGUCGAUGAACAUCCUAAAUGAUCCAUCCUUCUUUUUCACAAACAACACUGGUGCUCCCAAGGCGAGAAGCUCGGCCUGAUGAAUCCUUUGCUGAGUAGCUCAUUCAGUUGGCUGGAUAGCUCUUGCAUCUCUGCUGGGGCUAAUCGAUAGGGCACUUUGGCUACUGGGGUAGCUCUGGGAAUUAGAUCGAUUCUGAAUCCGACUUGUCUUGCUGGCGGUAUUCCUAGAAGAUCUUCGGGAAAAACAUCGGGAAAUUCGCAUACCUAUUGCACGCUCUUGAUGUCCUGAAUCUCGCGUUUCACAUCCACAACAUGUGCCAAAAACGCGUGACAUUCCUUGCGUAGCCACUUCUGAGCUUGGUUACACAAGAUAAUACGAAGAGUGGUACUGGGUUUGUCGCCAUAGAUUAUGAGGGUUUCGCUGGUUGGCAGAUUAAGGCGAACAGACAUAUCGUAACAUAAAAUGUCCGCAUGAUGAGAACUCAGUCAGUCCAUGCCAAUGAUGACAUCGAAACUCUUAAUCGAGACUGGCAUGAGGCUGAUUGGAAAGUGAUUAUCAUUUAGAGUUAGGGUACAGUUUAAAUAUAUCUCCCUAGUGCCUUCUGUUUUACCGUUGGCCAUUUCUACUAUAAACGGUUCACUUCAUGAUUGGGGUGUUUGUUUCAACAAGCCUUUAAAGUUAUGACUCACAAAAAUCCUAUCCGCUCCACUAUCAAACAAAAUGCAUGCAUACGAGUAAUCAAGAAGAAACGUACCUGUAAAAACAGUGGGGUCUGCAAUGGAUUCAUCCUAUCCCAUUGCGAACACUCGGCCCCUUCCGCCGGUGUCUCUGUUGUUUGCCUUCAGGCAGUCCCUACAAUAGUGUCCCGUGGCUCCACACUCAAAGUAGGCGCGACUUACUCCGGCAUUAGCAGUGGGGGUGGCUUGUUGGGCUGGCUCCUUGCAGAAGGGGGCCAUAUGCCCCUUCUUAUUGCACCUUGUGCAUUUGAAGUCACUGUAAAGACCGUGGUGGUGGAAGCUGCAUUGGUUGCACUUCGGAAACCUCUCACUAUAAGAACUUGUGCGUGCAGUGGUGGCAGGAACAGUAACUGCGAGAGCCGCUACCACUUGUUGUUUCUUGGGGUUCCCCUGUAGGGUUUUCCCCCUUCUCUUGUUCCAAGGCCUUCCCUAGCCUUGUACCUCCUUUGAUGGAUCGACAGUAGUUGCAACAGUACCCUGUUUGACCCCAUGGUCGAUGAGUCACUGAGCUAAGCACUUAGCGCUGCUGAAAGUGAUAGGGUUGGAGGCCAAGACGUGACCUUGAAUCUGGGGUGACAACCUCCAAAUGUACCUUUCAACUUUUUUCGGUUCUGGGUUGACCAUGGCAUGGCACAAGGUGGCGAGGUUGCUGAAACUGGCCGUGUAGGCUACUAGGUCAGACCCAGUCAUCUUCAGAUUCCAGAGCUCUUGCUCUAGCUUUUGUACCUCGCCCCUUGGUCAGUAUUCUUCCAGUAGUAGGACCUUUAAGUCCUCCCAAGUUAAGGCGUUUGUGACGAUGAGAGUAAUGGACUUCACAUGGUUUUUCCACCAGGUGAGGGCGCGAUCAGUGAGGGUGCAAGCAACGAACUUGACUUUGCUCGCUUCUUGGCAAGAGAAAAUCUCAAAGACCGUUUUGGUCUUUUCGAACCAUUGCAUCAGUGCAAUGACUCCCCCUGUGCCAUUAAAAGUUUUUGGCUUUGCGUUGGAGAAAUCCUUGUAAGUACAUUCCCUUACUUGACCAUGACCAGUGCCACGGUUGGGAUGAUUCGUGCUGCUUCCCGCCCCUCCAUUUCCAUUGGAGUUUAUUUGAGAGAGAGCGGCGGUUACUGUUGCUGUUAUAGCAGUCUGGACCAUGGUCGGAUCAUAAGUUUGUGGUGGAGGUGGUGUUGGUAUCGUGCCCAGCCUGGGCCUUAGGUUUAGACGAGGAGGCAUCGCGCUUCCAAGAAAUAAAAAUGAAAGAUCAUUAGUUUUGAUCGUCGAGGGUUGAAUGAGUUAGCUAUCUUUAAUAGUUUAAAAAUUUUGGUUUGGACCACACCGGGCUUUGAGUUUGAUUCACAAAUAGAGUUUGGAUAGCAAUAGAAAAACUCAUGAACUUAAAAGAAACGCACAUAAUUAACACACGAAAGAGAUAUGCCUUAUAUAUAUUAAAAAUAUGGUUGUGUUACAUCUGAAGUUAGAACAAAAUUGACCUUUCUAAAGGUCUCCAAUUUCAGGAAGUUAAAGAAAGUAAGACUUUUAGCCGAUGGUCCUAUUCUAUAUCAAAAUUUGGGAGUUAGGCGAGCACUACUCGCUGCGCGGGUUGCGCUUGGAGCUCGAUUCCGCAUCCGAUUACUUGGCUCCCAUGAGACGCCUGUCAAAGGCAUCUUGUUGCUCCUUAAAAUCUCUCAUUUUGGAGAGAGCUGCAGUCAUUUGCUCUUGGAGAGAGUUGGUGUGGAGUUGAGCAUUCCUUUGUAGCAUGUCAAGGCAUCGAAUAUAGGCUGCAUUAUCCUCCAUCCUCAUGUCAAGCUCGUGAAUUCGGGUUGCCUGAACUUCGGAUUGAUAAGCCUGAUUGGCAAGUUUGCCUACCAUAACUGGGAGUGCUCGAUUAGCUGAACUUCCUCCGCUGACAUCGUAGAAGUCCCAACACAUACCGUAAGGGGGGCGAUUCCUUGUUGCUGGCUCCAAUGAUGGAUGUGGCUUCCCUAGAUGGGAGUUGGUCCUUGAAAUACCAUCCUCAAAGGAGGUCGAACAGAUGGAGGUCGGACGGCUGGCGGAUUGAUUACCUCGGGCUCUGAGGCUGAGCUAUCCGAAUCUUCCUCUUCCUCGUCUUCCAUGGGUACCUCCUCGGGAUCAUCUACAAUCCAUCCCUCAUUACCUUUGUUGGGGUAGUAGGGGUCACUGGGGUGAUGAAAUCCAACCAUUAAGUCUAUACGAGAAUAGGGUUAAGAAUUGACUAUAAACUAAAGCAUGUAAAGUUUUACCCUUAAGUUUAACGGUUGAAGAUAUCCGAACACUCCCAUAGUAUUCUUAAUGAUAUGCUCUUGGUAAGUUUUAAACUUGUUGUCCACUGCAGACACUCCCUAGCAUACAUUAGUCGGCUCUUGGACAAAUAUAGUUGAUCAGGCUAUAUUCAUCCCAGUUCCGAUUACAUAUCCCAAGGCACACCUGCACUUCACAAUUUAUUUAUAAUACUUCUAUAUUGAUCUAUUUAUGACACUGCUAUUAAUAUGAAAUGAAUGCAUGCCUACUUUACAAAAAUUAAAUAAAUUGAAUUUUUAAGAGUAUGACUCUUUCUCAGAGUGUUUUUGCCCAGUUGUGUUUAUAUUCGUAAACCAAAAAUGGUUUUGAUAUACUUAAUUCAGUAUAAACAAUGCUCUGAUACCAAUUUGUUACACCCCCAAACGAGAACAGCGGAAACGUUCAGGAGCGGAGGACAUCAUAUUCAGUAUCAUAACAAUUGCAUAGUAAGGAAAGUACACACCACCAAAUAUAUAAAUAUUUAAAAGUGUUUAUAUAAUCGUAGUUGUUACAUAUUCAAACUAUGAAUACAAUAACAUGUUUCAAAAGAAGUCAUUAACGCCAGAACGUUAAUCCCCAAAAGAUGAUUUCCAAACCUACUUAGCGUUUCCCUGAGAAUACAAGUUAUUUAAAAGAAAAAGUGUCAACAUUUAAGUUGGUGAGUUCAUAAGAGGUUUUGAGAAAAAAGUAAGCCAUUCCAAGGUUCGUACGUUUUCCAAGAAAUCCCUUAUUUUCUUAUAAAAGUAUGAAAUGCAUACUGAUGUUCGUGUUGUGAAUUGUAAAUAGUUACACCAGGAAAAUUCCUUAUUUUCCUAUUAGUUGAUUGUUUUAGAUACACGAAAAUCCCUUAUCUUCCUAAAGUAGCAGGCAGUCUCUAAUGUCCAAGACCGAAAAUCGCAAGCAACUGACAUGCUUAAAAGGUUGAGACAUAGUUUUAUAUAAUAGAGCUAUCAAAAGAUCACACUUGUUAGAUGAAGAAUAGUUUUAAUAACUAUUCAAUCAUAAAAUCAUAAUACCAUAAUAAUUGUCUACCCGGUGAGUUUUAUAACCAUACUAAACAUAAUAUGCUUGCGGUGACGGUCUCCAGAUGUCGAAACGUUUUUGACAAACUGUCACCCAAAGGACUGUAGCUAACAGUCAGGGUGCGGGAUCAUGACUUCCCGUAUAGAUCUAUACACAUUUGACAUGCUCUCUGAACGAGAGACUCUUGUCAUAAUAGACAAGACUUUAAGUUGUACCUUUUCACUAAAAGGUAGCGUUGAAGAUGUAAAUGUCUAACAGGUUCUCAACUAAGUUUGUAUUAAGGUGAUAGUUUUGUAUAAAAUGUUUAUUCUCCUUAACAACGCUUGACUAAGCAUAAAUCUUAAGUUUUCUGAAUGCUAUAUGGGUCAUCUUGGAUCGAUUGACCAACAGUGCCAAUUUCCUAGCCAUACAAGAGAGUUCGUCGGCAGAGAAGUUGGCUGAACUGUAUGUCAGAGAGGUUGUCUCUUGUUUUGGGGUUCCGGUUUCUAUCGUUUCCUAUCGAGAUGUCAGGUUUACUUCCCGUUUUUGGCAGAAGUUCCAUGAGGAACUGGGUACAUGACUACAUUCGGCGUUCCAUCUGCAGACAGAUAGGCAUAGUGAGUGGACCAUUCAGACCCUCGAGGAUAUGUUGAGGGCGUGCGUUAUUGAUUUCGGUGGGAGUUAGGAUUCCCACCUUCCGCUUGCAGAGUUCGCCUACAACAACAACUAUCAUUCCGGUAUUGGCGCCCUUCCUUUCAAGCUGUUGUAUAGCCGGAAGUGUAGGACCCCAGUCUGCUGGGGCGAAGGUUGCGCACAGAGUGAUGGGUCGGACAGAAGUAGUCCUGCAAACUACCUAGAUAAUACAGCAAAUUAGACAACGGCUGCAGACCGCUCAGAGUCGGCAGAAAAGUUAUGCCGACUGAACCAAUCUAAGCUGGAAUUUCAAGUGGGUGACAUGGUCCUCCUGAAGGUCUCACCCUGGAAGGGUGUGAUCCACUUCAGGAGGAGGGGAAAAUUGGGUCCCCGUUAUAUUGGGUCGUUCAGGAUUAUUUCCAGGGGUUUGCACCUCUAUUUAAAGGAGCCUUAGCCUCUUUUGGCCUCUUUACAGUCUUUGAGAGCCCCUUAAAACCCUAAUUCGUGUGUGUGUGUGUGUGCCUUGGUGUGGUGUUUGAAGUUUGGAAAAGAGGAUCUUGGAGGAAGAAAGCUAAGAGUGCAAAGGAAACUGAAGCAAGGAAGGAGUGGGAAGCAGGAUUUACCUUAGCAAGCAUUCUUUGGAGGUAUCAAAGUGCCAUUCUUACUUCCCUUUUGUUGAGUUUCUAGGGUUUUUAUGGAUUUUUAACUUGGUAUGACGAGCUAUGGGCUAGAUCUAGAAGCAUAAAGUCAUAGUCUUGGUUGUGAUUAACGUCCCUCUUGAGCAUGAAGUUCCAUUAAGAACUUAGAAUUUACAUUUAGAGCCUUUAUAGUCACGCAUGCACGUAAAGUUUGCAACUUUACGUGAUAAGCAUGCCCUUGAAGCUUGGAUCUAUGAGUUGGAGCCGUUGCAUUGCUCAAAAUAUGUCUGUAUGGAGGAAAAGGACUGAAUGGACUUGGCGAGUCGCAAAGUGACUCGGCGAGGCACAUGGAGAUGGCCGCGAACUCGAUGAGUUGGAUGAACAACUCAGUGAGUCCGAUGAAGAUCGCCAUAAGACUCGACGAGUUGAAGAACAACUCGACAAGUCGGAUUAGUUUCCACUGGGUUAUGUAUGAGUGUGUAUCCAUCGAGUUGCGAGGAGAGAACUCGACGAGUGACCUUAAGUUUGAUCGAGAAUCAAAGGAACUCGACGAGUCACUCCGAUGACUCGGCGAGUUGGAAUGUGCUUCAGGGAACUCGAUGAGUAGCCAAGGGUACUCUACGAUUUAAGGUUAACAUGGACUAUCGACCUUGACUGAGGACUUUGACUUUGACAAGGGGUUAACUAGCUGCUUAUGGAGUACCUUAUAAGGUUAAGGACUUAUGAGUAUGAUGUACUAUGAUGAUAGGUGGUAGAACCUGUGUCAAGUGAUCCGGGAGUUGGAGUUUACCUUUUGUGUCGAAAUCUUCGAGGUGAUUUAUCUCCACUAUAUCGAUAGGAUCUACGACUCCAAGGCCGACCCUUUAGUUGUUAUUGUUAUGGUAUGCUACAUGUGGUUAUGAUAUGUUAGAUCGGAAUCGGGGUAGACAGUGUGUUAUGCUCUUAUGAUCCGUAGGGAUUGGUAUGUUAGUGACCUGCUAGGUCGGUACUCUAGUUACAGGAGAAUUCUAUGAUUGAUGAUUAGUAUGACAGAUACAUUUGAUGUUUGUAUAUGCCUGUAUGUGAUAGUAUGCGCACAUGUUUAUUUUCUGGUGGUUGGGUUGAGGCGGUUCUGCUUUGUGCUGAAGGCCAAUAUACCCUAUGAGCGGUCCGGGCAGACUGUAGGCCUACGUGGCGGACCAGUCAUGCUGAAGGCUCGGGAUAGAUUCAGACAGACUGUAGGCCCGGUAGGGCGGUUCAGUCAGGCCGAUGGCCCAGUAUGCAUGAUGAUUGAUUGAUUAUUACUGAUAUGGUAUUGUCAGUGUGGUAUUGGUAUUUUGUGGGUAGCUCACUAAGCCCUCGGGCUUACAGUUUUCAGUUUAUUUUUUCAGGUACUUCAUGAGAUCAUGGAAAUGCGAAGGCGUGACCGUACCGCUCCUCAUCCUUAUGUUAUGAUUUUUGGGACACUCUGAUGGAAAAUGAUUUGAAAACAUUUUGUAAACAAUACUAUUUGGUUUUUAUUUACGAUUGAAAAAGUUUAAAUUUGGCGUAAAAUUUAUGGAUGUUACACAAAAAUCCCUCACCUCUUUCACAAGUACCAGUGAAAGGUGACUUAGUCAUCUUUCCAAGCACACAAGACUCGCACAUGUCAUCUGACUUUAGGUCAAAUUACUCCAACACUCCAACCUUUUGGAGUUAGGCUAUGCGCUUCUUGUUGAAAUGUCAAGGACGACAAUGCCACAAGCAUGCCUUGUCUAUACCAUUAGAAAUAUAAAUAUACAACACAUUAUUUCCUAAGUUAUCCACAACUAUCACAGUUGAUGGAUUAAUGUAUAAGUCCAUAACUAUAAUUGGUAUGUACUUGACCCGACUUGGAAUGGUACAUUUGGGUUGCAUGGCGUCGGAACAAUUGGAUAGACAAAAAUAAGAAAAAAAAAAUGAUACUAGUGAUUUAUGUUAAUACAUUAUAAGUUCUAAUAUAUUAAUAUAGAAUUGUAUUAUUUAAUUAGUAGUGAUCAAUAAUUAAUUUAGAAUUAUAUUAGUUAUAAAGAAGGAACUAUUUAAAUAUNNNNNNNNNNNNNNNNNNNNNNNNNNNNNNNNNNNNNNNNNNNNUAUAUAGGAUAGGCCAAGUUCAUUUAGGUUGGGCUAAGAUUUCAUUGAUAGUCCAUGGAGUGUUUAACCCAUGGAUCCUAUGGAAAUGAAAGGUCAUGGGUAUUAGGGUUUACAUGAAUGUAACCCUAAUCCUCCACACUAUAUAAAGAGGUCCCUAGUUAAUGAAAUGGGCACUAGUGUAUAGUACACAAGAGGGCAAAACCGAUUUGGUGCAAGUAUCCUUAUUCUCAAGUUAUUCCAAGGGUUCUUGGUGUUUUGUGAACCAUUUGAGGAGCAACACUUGGGGCACUAGGCUCUUAAAGGUUCAAGACUUCAAGCUCCAUCAAAAGGUAUGUCAUUCUAUUAGAUUCUUGUAGUAUAGUUGCUUCAUAUUAUGCUAGUUAGGAUGAAACCUUGGAAUAUUUAAUAUUUGCAUGAAUAAUAGAGAAAACAUAGAUCCAAGGUUUAUAGGUUUGCAUGUACACCAUAGGAGCAUUAGAAUGCUCAAAUCCCAUCAGUGGUAUCAGAGCCUAGGCUUGUUUUCAAUUAUACUUGAUGCAACUUAUUUUUCAAAACCAAGAAUCUGCCUAGACUGCGACGAGUUCUAGCCAAAAACUCGAUGAGUUCAUGUGUUAAAGCAUCUACUCGACGAGUUCCUUAUAGAACUCGACGAGUUGGUCUUCCAGUUGGCAGAUUUUCGUGUUUUAAGGCUGGAAUUGGUCUAGAAUCAUUACCUUAAACUAUUUUGGACUUAUAAAACGUGUUUUUGAUGUUGUAAUGAUUAUAGUAAACCAAUUUUAAGGUUAUUAUCAAAAUCUCAAGUUUAUGUGUGUUUAUGUAAUUCUUGAAAUUGUUGAGAUGAUUGUUCAUACACUUGUGACUUAUGGUAGAUCAUAGGAAUUAUUUGAAAAUUGUUGUUAGUUAAUUCUUGAUCUAAAUGUGUUUUUAUGGAGUCCAUAAUUUGUCCUCAAGUUAUGUAUUACCAAAAGUCAUUUCUUUUAAAGAUCCAUUAAAAAGUCAUAUGUUACAUAAUUGAAGAGUCUUUUCUCAUAAAUAGUUUUAUGGACUCCAUAACUUGUCCUCAAGUUACGGAUGUUCAAGAGUCUCUGCAUUAAAAGUUUUAAAAACCUUAAAUAAACUCAUAGUUAUGAAAAUCCAAAAGUUUAUGAAUAGUUCAAAACUUUCCCUCAAGUUUUGGAAUUUGUAAAGUUUCCCCCUCAUGAGUACUUUAAUUCCAAGCUAAACCAUUAGAAUUUUAAAAGUUAAAAUUCAAACCUUAUACUAUUAUAAUAUUAAUAGUUAUAUAUAUAUAUAUAUAUAUAUAUACAUAUGUAUAUAUACAUAUGUAUAUGAACAAAGUCAGUCUUACCGUUAGUAGGCCUCAUUCACAAAGUCGAUCUAUAAGGGGGGUACAAGGUUGUUUCCUAUAAAAUGGCAGCUUAAUGGGUGUCUCCUCUCACCCACCGCUUCCUUGAAUGGUGGAGGGUCGUUAGCCGAAAGAGUAGGGCAAGGACUAUAAUUCUGCCUUCAUUAUAAGUAUAAUGAUAAAUAUAAAGUAACUAAAACUUUUAUAAAUUCACAGUCUUAGUUACUUUAGGAAAAUUUGAAUUUUGUGCUAACCCAUGGAAUUAUAUUUUGCACUUUGCUUAAGUCGGUAGUGGAGCGCAUCUAGUUAACCAGCACACUAGCUUGGAUUUAACAAGGUAGGCAAAGGGUAACUUAAUGUUUAUCAUAGAAUCGGUGGAGCACGUGUGGUUAACCGGCACAUCGAUUAAGUGAUAAAUAUUAAGCAUACCAAGUAUAUUUGCAUGGUUAUUCACAGCUUGUUUGUGAUCCUAAGGAUCCCAGUCACAAACUUGAGAGGGCACAGUCGAGAUUGAAACAUGCCAUUGAAAAGUUCAAUGAAUCUCAAAAGAUCUAGGAGUUUCAAACCAAUUAAAACCUAAUUUCUAUUUCGUUUUUCAUGGUGCAAAUUCGUGAAUCGUCAUUCACCUACCUUCAAAUAUUUUAUAGCUUGGAUUACGGCAUCCCUCUUCCAAGUUAUAAAAUAUUGUGUUGGGUCCUAGCCUUAAUAUUUCAUAUUGGGUGUUCUAUUAAGGACUUAAAUCAACUAACUUGAAUUUCUCCCAUUGUAGAUGUCUGGUUCGAACAACUAUGAUCUUCCCAAAUCUCUUGGAACAAGCUUUCCUAAUGAAGAUGAUUUCCCGCAUUUGGUUUAUGGAAAUCAUACUUCUCUUCCUCCACCUCCUCCACUUAUUCUCCCUGACCCACAAGCUCGAAGACUUAAAAAGUUCAAGGUCACUCAAGCCCUACUAACAAUGAAACAUAAAGAUGGAAGACAUGUGUGAACUCAUCUCUUAGGAAUGAAGUCACUUAUUCAUAGGUUGAGAAGGUUGGGCGUCGUUGUUCCAAGAAAGUUGGUUAUUGAAUGGGUUCUUCAGUCACAUCCUGAGUCAUAUAUUGAGUUUGUUAAAGAAUACUAUGUGACAAAUCACGACAUGGCCCUAAUAGAUAUAUCUUAUUUGCUUGUUGCUGCUGAAUCAGAAAUGAUUUGGCGCAAUGGUCAAGAAAAUAUGUAUGGAAGGUCUAUUUCUCAAACUUCCAUGGACAUUGACAAUGGUAACAUAAGAAGUCUAGAAAAGCUUUCUCUUCCAAAUGGAAAGGGAUCAGCCUUGGUCAACCCAGUUGACCAAAAGGUAAAGGGAAAAGCUAGGUCUAUGAUAGUCCCGUGUACCAUUCCUAAAGAGUUUAUAUGUUUUCAUUGUCAAAAGAAGGGGGUUGCGAAGCUUCCCUCACUACCUGAAAGAUCUGACAGAAGGAAGAAUCAAAAAGUUUGACUCUGCUUCAGGUAAGUCCACUAUCUAACUCUAUUAAGUCCCUAAUUGAUGACUCUUAAUACAAAAUGUGACUCAGUUACAUUUAUAUGUUUGGCAGGAUCAAGCAAAGGGAAGGAAACUUAAAGGAAGAGUAUGUUGAAUCUGAUCGCGAAGAUGGAUUUCAAUCACAUGGUUUGAAGAUUGGAUUCUUGAGCUACUACUUGGGAGUUAUGAUCGAUUUCUAGGAAAUAUGUAAUAGCAUAGUUUUCAUUUAAAGUUGCAUUGUAAGGAAAAAGUUUUUUCUGCAUUUUAUAAAUAAAUAAAUUUUUGUUUUAUUUUAUAUCUCCUUGAAUGGCAUUUAUGGUAAUGUCUAAAUUUACCAAAUAAGGAAAGAUUAUCAUCACCCAAGUUUCAAUUGGACCGAAACUUGGAAUCAUUCAAGUUGUAUAGUAUGAUGAAUGAGAAUUUUCAUCUUUGGAAAAGUAAGACUAAUUCCUUGUUCACAUGUAUAUGUGAGUCAAGUGAAGGGCUAAGGGAUUGAGUACACAUUCUUGUGUACUGGUCAAGUCCACCAUAAAAUAUCGAUAAGACUAUUCUUCAUGAUUUACUAAAGUUUAGUAAAUAUGGUUAUACUUACAAGUUUAAGUAUAAUUCUGAAGCAUUUGAAAAGUUUUGAUGUAUGGAAGAACGAAUGAGAAGUAUCAAAUUUCGAAGAAAGAUAAAAGUUUCUCAAAUCUGAAAAGAUGGGAGAGUACUUUAGUAUCAUGUUUAUGAUCAUCUUAAUGAUUAUGAAACCACAUCACAAUUCAUCCUCAAAGGACAUCUUAGUGCAUUCUUAUGGAUAAGAAGAAGAGUCAUGAAUUGUUGAUAUGGUUAAAUCAAGAAGGUGAGUCGUACUUCAUUCCAAAACAAGUCUUAGAGUCAUACUCCAAGAUUGUAAUUUGAGUGACACAUCUUAAAGAAGGUUUAUGAACACUUGUCAAAUGUGAGAGUAAAAUGUGUUCUAAUCUUGUACAUUUGAUAUUGGUAACUUGUGAUGUUUUGGAUAAAACAAAGACCAACAAAGGCCAAUUAUAUGAAGUGUUUGUCUUGAUAAGAAUCCGCACUAUCUCUUGAAUAUUUGUUUGUCAGGAAAUGGGUCCUAGCAAGAGAGUCUUAUAUGUCAAGAGGACAGUGGGAGUCUAAAAGAUCCUAAAAGAGUUUCAAGAUCUAAUCAAGAAUAAAACCUGUAGUUUAUCACUAGCACACGACUUGAGGUGUGCAACCUAUCAUGUUGAUAUAUUCCUAUUUUCAUGCCCAUUCUAGUUAAAGUUGGCUUUGCAUAUGAGUUCUGAGAGUUCUCAAUUGGUUGCAUAACAACUUGGAAGCAAUGGGAGGCCCUGAUGCUGCCAGGUGGCAAGAAGUUAAGACUGCACAAGUUCAGUCCAUAUGAAUUUGGAUUUGUCACUAACCUUGUCUUCUGAUUAUGGUUUUGAAAAAUUCACAUGGAUAGGAACACAUACACCAUAAAAUCUAAGUGUCAUAAGGUUUCUCUUCGAUUCAUGAAAAUGAUGGUGAGGAAACACUUUCACUAAGUGGUUUUAAGUAGAUAGCAAUUGUGAUAUUUAUAUUCUCAAAGUCGUUAGUGGAGCGUGUGUGGUUAACCGACACACUAACAUGGACUUGUGAGGAAUGACAAAGGUCUAAACAAUUGAGACUAUGAUUACGGGUUACCUUUUCAUAGUUAUGAAAUUGUUUAGACACACAUGUGUGCUAUCUAAGGAAAUGUGUAUGAUUUUGAUAAAGUUUUAUCUAAGCAUUUCGUAUUAGAAGUCUAAACUUUGGUAAGAAAGUCAAUAAAGUUAUGAUUUAUAGAAGUCUAACUGAUUUUUGAGUCCAUGUCAAAGCUAGUGGGAGCAUAAUUGUUAUGUUUGUGGGAGCAUGAUAAUUAUGCUAAGUGUUGCAAGUUAGCAAUGUUAAUUAUAGAAAACAAAAGUUUCGAUUGGGAAAAGUUGUUUUGCUAUAAUUAAGGGAGAGGAAAUUAUACUUCAUUUGAAUUCUAAAAGCUUAGAUUGAGAUUUNUUAUGUUGGGAUGGGUCAACUUAAGGAAAUUCUAUAUGAAUUGCGUUAUCAAAUUCGAUUAUGAUUACGGCAUCCCUCUUCAUAGUCAUUUUAUGAGAACAUGGAAAAUAAAAAAAGUAUUGUAGCAAAAGACUGAUCUAGGAUUAUGUCUUUAUGUCAGACAUCAUGAAUCAUGUCCCAUAUGCUUCGUGUAUAGGAUUGAUUACAUGUGCUAUGAUAUUUAUCCUUCCUAAAUUUUCCAAAUGCCCAGGGCAUUAAGAGGGGAAAAGGUCUACAAUUGGAUAUGACUCAGAUGAUUAAGCAAUUGUUGAGGACAAUCUGAGGUUCACCAAAGAUUGGUUGCUCAUGGACAUUUGGAAGUAUGGUGUAAAUUUUUGGAAAUGACCAUAUUGACAGAUUCUGAAAAGAGGCUACUCUUGUUCAGAAGUGAUAGUCAGAAUGGGAAUAUGGAAAUGUUUCAUAGGUGGAAGUUAUCCAUUAAAUCUGUUUAAAAUUAGGAAACUUAAUGCAAGAAGGAUGUUUAAAGCAAUGUACUUUGAAUUUGAGACUUCGUGUCCAUGGAAUGAUCUCCAUUGGAAUACUUUGUAAUGUAUGUUGCCAAGUCUUUGUGACUUUGUGCAUAGUCAUUAAAAGAGGAUCAAUACAUAUAAGUUUAGAAUCUAACAGAUUUCGGUAAAUGGCAUGAAUUUGGAAUUCUUACAUUUACGGUAAGGAUUUGGGUUUGUGAAAUGAGCAUCAUUAGAAUCAUGUUCAAUUGGUCUAUUUCACAAAGUAAGGAUCAUAGACAAACAUAAUGUACAUACUUGGGGUAUGGCAUAACUAUUGUUUAGAAAACAUAGUGUACAUGCUUGGAGCAUGGGACAACUAUUGUUUUAAUUCAAUUAUUAAGUUGAUUAAUUUGAAACAUUAUACAAUGAAGAAUGAUUAAUCAAUAUGGUGUUUAAAUAAAAGGUGUUCUAUUUACUCUCAAAGGUGCUUGAGGCCAUAUUGAAUUAGUAUUAUUCUUGUGUUUCACUUUACAUGUUUUGAGUUCCUGAAUAAAUGGGUUAUCCAAAUUCUCCACAGUCAGUCAUAUGUUGGAAGUAGGUAUGAAUCAAGAUUGUCAUGCAGUUGGCUUGUAGAAGUCUAAGGUGUUGGACAUUGCAAGAGUUGCUACAACAUUCAUGAGUGCUCAUAAGUAAUGAGUAUUGGAUUAAACCCACACUCAUUUGAAUCACUUCAUUGAUUUUAUCAUGAGUGAUCAUGAGACGAUAAUAACUUAUAUUCAUCAAAGCUAGAGAUAUGAGUUGUUGACUAUGAGUUGGUUAUACAUUCAUUGUACGAAAACGCAUUAGUAACUCGAUGUUAUAAAAUGUACCUUUGUGUACAGAUUUAAGAGCUACAAUUGCUAGUUGGGUUUUGGAGUCAUACGCAAUAAUAGUUUUAGACUUAUCCAUGUGGGAGACUUUUCGAUUAGUGUCUAAAUCCAUAACUAUAAUUCCUAUGUACGUGACACGACUUGGCAUGGUCCAUUUGGGUUGCAUGGCAUUGGAACAAUUGGAUAGCCAAAAUGAGAAAAAAAAAAAGGAUACUAGUGAUUUAUGUUAAUAUAUUAUAAGUUCUGAUAUUUUAAUAUGGAAUCGUAUUAUUUAAUUAGUAGUGAUCAAGAAUUAUUUUAGAACUAAUUUAUUGAGAAAAAAGGAACUAAUUAAAUGUGGUCUCUUAUAUAUAGGAUGUGCCAAGUUCAUUUAGGUUGGGCUAAGCUUUCAUGGAUAGUCCAUGGAGUGUUUAACCCAUGGAUACUAUGCAAAUGAAAGGUCAUGGGUAUUAGGGUUUACAUGAAUGUAACCCUAAUCCUCCGCACUAUAUAAAGAGGUCCCUAGUUCAUGAAAUGGGCACUAGCGUAUAGUACAUAAGAGGGAAAAACCAAUUUGGUGCAAGUAUCCUUAUUCUGAAGUUAUUCCAAGGGUUCUUGGUGGUGUGUGAACCAUUUGAGGUGCAACACUUGGGGCACUAGGCUCUUUAAGGUUCAAGACUUCAAGCUCAAUCAAAAUGUAUGUUAUUCUACUAGAUUCUUGUAGUAUAGUUCCUGUUGGGUUUUGAGCAUUCUAACACUCCUAAGUGUACAUGCAAACCUAAAUACCUUGGAUCUAUGUUUUCUCUAUUAUACAUGCAAAUAUGAACUUUCCAAGGUAUUCAUCCUAACUAGCAUAAUAACAUUGAUUCAAAUGAAUAUAUCAAGUUAGAAUUACAUACCUCUUUGAUGUGGAUUAUCUUCAUGAAGCUUGAAUGCCUAGUGCCCCAAGUGUGACACCUCAAAUGGUUCACACAACACCAAAUACACAUGGAAUAGAUUAGAGAGAAAUCCACACUUCAUGAAAAUCGGCUAGCCCUUUCUAUCACACAUUAGUGCCCGAUUUUGUCACCAAUAAGAUCAUUAUAUAGUGUCACAAUUAGGGUAAACCCUAAUUGUCAUGGCUUUCCAUUUCCUUGGAUCCAUGGGUUCAAAUACACCAUGGAGCAUCCACGAAGCAUCCUAUGGGUUUUAGCCCAACUUGAUAAUCCAUGGAGCAUUAGCCCACUAUACAAGUAUGGAUAAUUUACAAAAUCAACCCAUAUAUAUAAUUAGUCUUCUUUUGAUCACUUAAUUAAUCCUAAAUUAAUUCUUGAUCNUAAAUACUACUAUUAAUAUAUUAGAACUUAUAAUAUAUUAACAAACCACAAGUGUUAUUUCACUCAUUUAGUCUAUCCAAAUGCAUGACGCCAUACAACCCAAAUGGACCAUGCCGGGUCGGGUUAAGUCUUAUGUAACAUACACGUUUUGAAAUCGUGUUUUAAGUAAAUAAUAUGAUGAAAUAUUAAGUGAAUUUGAAUGUUGAGUUCUAACAGAUAGUUUUUACUAGAAAUAAAGUAAACCUAUGUUUAGAAUCACUCAUAAAAUAUUGGAAGUCUUAUGAGAUUCCAAUUAAAAGCCAAAUAGUGAAAUAUAGCAAAAAUAUAAAAUUUGGAAUAAGUAAAAUUUUAUUAUUGAAAGUUGUAGAUAAUCUCGUUAGAAACAUUUAGGCGAAAACCUCAUCGAAAUCCGAGUUAUAACGAAGAAGUUAUGACCAAACGAAGAUCCGUGAUAAAUCCGGAAAAUACCUUGUCGCGUAAAAAUUUAGUUUUCGAUAAACUAAUUUUUAGCCUUAGUGAUGUAAAUGAAAGUUGUAGAACUCGUGAAAAUAAUCAACUUUCAUAUAAAGACCGUUUGAAUCUGACUUCGUAUGAGGAAGUUAUGAUUUUUCGAAGUUUCAGCUUAGCAGUAGACAGCUAAAAACUCGAAUUUUAGAUCGAGUGAUUUUUAGCCGACACAACCUAAACGAGAAUUGAAGGUCUCGUCAUUAGUAGUGCAACGGUAAAAAGUCUGACGAAAACGGACGUCGGAUGAAGAAGUUAUGAAUUUUUAACGGAUUUUCCUGUCCCGGUCUGUUAAAAAUAAUAAUAUUAAAAUUAAAGUCAAAAUUAGCCGACGAAGUCUAAACGAAAGUUGUAGAGCAUAAUUUUAGCUUCGCGUGCAUAUAAAGAACGUCAAAAACGGAGCUCGUAUGCGAAAGUUAUGGAUUUUAGAAGUUUUUGCACAAAUUUCGAGAAAAUUCGUAUGAAUAGUGAAAUGCCACGUCACCCUCGUAUGCGAGGCUUCCACGUGUCGGACAGAUGUUCGCUUCUGAUUGGACCGCAGCCUUGCGUGUUGCCUUCUGAUUGGACCAAGCCGAGGACCACUAAGCCCGGANNNNNNNNNNNNNNNNNNNNNNNNNNNNNNNNNNNNNNNNNNNNNNNNNNNNNNNNNNNNNNNNNNNNNNNNNNNNNNNNNNNNNNNNNNNNNNNNNNNNNNNNNNNNNNNNNNNNNNNNNNNNNNNNNNNNNNNNNNNNNNNNNNNNNNNNNNNNNNNNNNNNNNNNNNNNNNNNNNNNNNNNNNNNNNNNNNNNNNNNNNNNNNNNNNNNNNNNNNNNNNNNNNNNNNNNNNNNNNNNNNNNNNNNNNNNNNNNNNNNNNNNNNNNNNNNNNNNNNNNNNNNNNNNNNNNNNNNNNNNNNNNNNNNNNNNNNNNNNNNNNNNNNNNNNNNNNNNNNNNNNNNNNNNNNNNNNNNNNNNNNNNNNNNNNNNNNNNNNNNNNNNNNNNNNNNNNNNNNNNNNNNNNNNNNNNNNNNNNNNNNNNNNNNNNNNNNNNNNNNNNNNNNNNNNNNNNNNNNNNNNNNNNNNNNNNNNNNNNNNNNNNNNNNNNNNNNNNNNNNNNNNNNNNNNNNNNNNNNNNNNNNNNNNNNNNNNNNNNNNNNNNNNNNNNNNNNNNNNNNNNNNNNNNNNNNNNNNNNNNNNNNNNNNNNNNNNNNNNNNNNNNNNNNNNNNNNNNNNNNNNNNNNNNNNNNNNNNNNNNNNNNNNNNNNNNNNNNNGGUUAUUUUCCCGGGUUAUUUUUAUUUGCUAUUUUUAAUAGCAAAGAAAUACCUUUGACCAUGUGAUCAGUGAAAGGACUUAGAUUCACGUUGGUACUGGUAUGUAGCCUCUGGCCAUGUGGAACAUGUCUCCGUAAGAGAAUGAAUUCUAUUCUAUGGUAGUGGCAGAAGGUUAGACAGGGCUAUAAGCCUGAAAUCUACCGAAAUGUUAAUCCGAAGUUGUAUAUCUUCUGUGCCGUUUGGGCCAAAGCUUUAUUGAUGUAUAUCAAGCCUGGAAAUUGUUAUGUCUCAUUGAUUGUAUAUCUUUAAAUCAAAUCAAUGAUUGAUACGGAAUGUUUGUCACGUGAUUCACAUAUGCCCUUGUUGAUCCUUGAUCCUCUUUGCUUCUGCCAUAUCGAAGUAUAUAUAUGGCAUAACGUUAUAUUGUAUCUAUCAUUGAACUCACUAAGCGUCACCGCUUACCCUCUCAAUGUUUAACAAAUUUGCAGGAGAUAAGCAUCCAGUAUAGUUAUAUACUGGUAGAAGUUUUUUGAAUUGUUUGAAAUUGGUGUAUCGAUAGAAGUUUAUGAAUAGUUUGAAACUAUUGUAUUUUGCACUCCCAUAUGUAUAAAACUAUAGAAUCCUGGGAAGAUAUGUAAUAUAUAACACUUUAAAAUAGUCGGUUUGUAUCCAGUAGUUUGUAAUCUCUUUAUCAAUGUAAAAUAUUGUUUUUAUGAAUAUGCAAGUAGCAUGUUUUGGAGUAACUAUAUUGUCGAGUAUGAAAGUUUGGGUCUUUCAUAAAUACGAAAGUUAGGGUCUUUCAAUCAUGGUAUCAGAGCAGUAGUUUGAGUGAACUAAAUUCCACGGAUUGGUAUUUAGACUUAAACUAUUGGAAGUUCAAUAUAUGAACUAAAUCAUUGUAAGUAUAGGGAUACAAACCAUAGGAAAUAUAUAAGUAAAAGUAUUAGGUAAUAAUAAACCCUAAUAUUCUAAAAUACAAUGUUACUCCGUAUUGCAGAGCAAUGGCUGAACAGGUUAGUAGCCAUACCCCUGAGGUUGGUGGAGGUCCUCAACCCGAGGAAGUGAAUACUCCAGUAUCUCCUCGUGAGGAGCGACUCUUGGGUAAACUUACUGGUGUUAUUCGACAGACUCUCGAAGAACACAAAAAGAAUGGUGAUAAGGGAAAAGAGAAAGCCACUGGAGAAUCUUCAAAAGGAGAGGUGAAGCGUCCCUCGUUCAAAGAUUUCAAGAGUAGUGGUGCUACAGAGUUUUCCGGUGUUCUCAAUCCCAUUAUUGUUCUUAAUUGGAUCCAGAACACAGAGAAAGUGUUUCGUAUUUGUCAUGUGGAUAACGAAGACAAGGCUAACUAUGCUUCCGCAAUGCUCAUUGGAGAAGCCUUGGUCUGGUGGGAAGCAACAUAUGAAGCUCUCAAUGGGUUUGACCAGGAGAAUUUAGCUUGGGAAAUGUUUAAAACUUGUUUGCUAGAGAAGUAUUGUCCUCUAGACAAGAGGAGGAGAUUGGAGAAGGAAUUCCUAGAGCAUAAACAAGGAGGAAUGACUGUGAACGAGUAUGAAACUCAGUUUAAUCAAAGAGAAAGGUUUGCUACAAAGUAUAUUCCAACUGAAGACGAGAAAAUUCAGUUAUUCAUGGAGGGACUACGACACGAAAUCCACGAUUUCGUUGCCAAUCGAGAAGUUCUGUCAUUCGAUAAAGUCGUUGAAUAUGCUCGAAGACGUGAGCAUGACUUAGAAAUACGUGGUGCCACCGUUAUUGCUCCGAAGCAUCCACGUACUGAAAGAACUGUUCCUAUUCCUUCUUUUCUACUAGCUCAAUCCAUUCAGACUGAACCUGGUAAUCAAGUUCAAACUCAAAGCAUCUCUCGUGGACGCGGUAGAUCACAAUCUUUUUCUAUGCAAUCGCCUUCAUGUCGUAUUUGUGGAAGAAAUCGUCCGGGCCAAUGCAAAAUAGACAAGGAAUCCAUAGUCUGUUAUGGAUGCGGUGAAAAGGGUCAUAUAAAGCCAUCUUGCCCAAUAAAGGAUGUUACUUGCUAUGCAUGUGGUAUUAUUGGCCACAAGAAGCGUUUUUGCCCUACUCUUACUAGUCAGAUGACGGGAAGUCAAGCUUCUGUUCAACAACCGGCGAGAAGCCAAGUCCCUGUUCAACAAUCAAAGGGUACUCCAACUAAAAAGGAGGAGGUGCCAAAAGCUAGGGGUCGUGCAUUCCAGAUUACCUCAGAGGAGGCACGCGAGGACCCGAAUGUUGUGACGGGUACAUUUCUUGUCAACUCUAGACCUGCUCACAUCUUAUUUGAUUCUGGUGCCUCAGAUUCUUUUGUGUCUUACGAAUUUGCGCAUGCCUUGCAAAUUGCUUGCUUUGUACUCGCGCAACCAUUUCACGUAGAUACUGCGGGAAGUAUAUCAUUACUUGCUGAUAAAGUCUAUAGGGAUUGUGUUAUAGAAAUUGAAGGCUAUACUUUUCUCGCUAACCUGAUCCCUAUCUCCUUGCCCAACUUUGAUAUUAUUCUCGACAUGGAUUGGUUAUCAAAGAACCACGCAGAACUCUUGUGCUAUGAAAAGAUAGUACAUAUUCCUAUUGAAGGGGAGAAUCCUAUCUAUGUCUACGGUGAACAAAGACUCUUAAAAAUAAUCUAUUUCCUUAAAGCUCGUAAAUUCAUAUCGAAAGGGUGUUCUAUCUAUAUGGCCUACACAGUUGAUGUCUCAAAAGAGGAGAAGAAAACUGUAAAUGAUGUUCUCGUUGUUAACGAAUAUCCUGACAUUUUCGCCGAUGACUUGUCUGGCCUUCCUCCGGAUAGGCAAGUAGAAUUCCGAAUUGACCUUGUGCCUGGUGCUGCUCCAAUUGCAAAGACUCCUUAUCGUCUUGCGCCAGCUGAGAUGAAAGAAAUGAUGAUCCAACUGCAAGAACUACUUGACAAGGGUUUCAUUCGACCGAGUACCUCUCCCUGGGGUGCUCCGGUACUAUUUGUCAAGAAGAAAGAUGGAUCGAUGCGGAUGUGCAUUGAUUAUCGUGAGUUGAAUAAGGUGACUAUCAAGAACAAGUACCCACUACCUCGCAUCGACGAUUUGUUCGAUCAACUUCAGGGUGUUAGCUAUUUCUCAAAAAUUGAUUUAAGAUCUGGCUAUCAUCAGUUGAAAGUUCACGAGCAGGAUGUACCGAAGACUGCUUUUCGUACUCGAUAUGGGCAUUAUGAAUUCCUUGUUAUGCCGUUUGGUUUAACAAACGCUCCGGCUGUAUUCAUGGAUAUGAUGAAUCGGGUAUGCCGCCCAAUGCUCGAUAAAUCAGUCAUCGUAUUCAUUGAUGAUAUUCUAAUCUAUUCCAAGUCUGAAGCUGAUCAUGCCAUUCAUAUUCGUGCGGUAUUGGAACUUCUUCGAAAGGAGAAACUAUAUGCUAAAUUCUCGAAAUGUGAAUUUUGGCUUCGCCAAGUUCAAUUUCUCGGCCAUGUUAUUUCUAGUGAUGGUGUAUCCGUAGAUCCUAUCAAAAUCGAAGCCAUUCAAAAUUGGGAAGUGCCCCGUAAUGCUUCCGAAAUUCGUAGUUUCUUAGGUCUCGCGGGAUAUUACCGGAGAUUCAUUAAAGACUUUUCUCGUAUAGCCGUACCUCUCACGAGUCUUACACGGAAAGAAGUGAAGUUCGAAUGGGGUGAAACCCAAGAAAGAGCUUUCUCAACUCUAAAAGAUCUUUUGACUCAUGCUCCAAUCUUAUCACUCCCAGAAGGUGAUGAUGACUUCUCCGUAUAUAGCGAUGCUUCAAGAUUGGGACUCGGUUGUGUGUUGAUGCAACGUGGCAAAGUGAUAGCCUAUGCCUCAAGACAACUGAAAGAUUAUGAAAAGAAUUAUCCCACUCAUGAUCUCGAACUCGCUGCAGUGGUAUUUGCCCUAAAACUUUGGAGGCAUUAUCUUUUUGGUACAAAGUGCCAAUUAUUUACCGACCACAAAAGUCUCAAGUACAUAUUCAGUCAGCAAACUUUGAAUAUGAGACAACAACGAGCCAUGGAGCUGAUCAAAGAUUAUGAUUGUGAAAUCCUAUAUCAUCCUGGAAAAGCUAACGUGGUUGCUGAUGCACUUAGCAGAAAAGUUUAUCGCAAUAGUAUGUGUUAUGCCAUUACUCAUACUACAGUAAAAUUCACUAUUUUAGAUGAAUUAGAGAAAUGGCAAGAAGAGGCCCUAAAGCCAGAAAAUGUGAAGAAAGAAGGGAUGAUACAUUAUAAUGAUGCUCUACUUGAUGAUCCGCGAGGAUUAAAAGUAUUCAAGAAUCGGCUGUGGAUUCCAAAGAUCGGUGGAUUGAGACAGAAGAUUUUAGAUGAAGCCCAUAAAUCUAAACUGUCAAUCCAUCCUGGUACAAGUAAAAUGUACUAUGAUGUAAGAGCUGAUUAUUGGUGGCCUGGAUUAAAGAGAGACAUUGGAAGAUAUGUACAAGAAUGCUUAGUAUGCUUACAAGUCAAAGCAGAGCACCAAAAGCCUUAUGGAACCCCAGAAAGUCUUAGUGUUCCUGUAUGGAAAUGGGAGGAAUUGUCCAUGGAUUUCAUUACCAAAUUGCCAAAGACUGCUAGACAGCAUGAUAGCAUUUGGGUAAUUGUCGACCGCCUGACUAAAAGCGCUCAUUUUCUUGCCAUGCGUGAAACGGCCCCAAUGGAGAAAUACGCACAAGUAUACUUGGAUGAAAUUGUGGCAAGACAUGGUGUGCCACUAAAGAUCAUCUCCGAUCGUGAUACUCGCUUCACUUCUCACUUUUGGGCGAGUAUGCAACGUGAAUUAGGAUCUCGAGUUGCUCUCAGCACAGCAUAUCAUCCCCAGACAGAUGGUCAAACGGAGAGAACAAUCCAAACAGUAGAAGAUAUGCUUCGUGCAUGUGUCUUGGAGUUCGGUGGUAACUGGGAUAAAUACUUACCUCUUGUCGAAUUCUCGUAUAAUAAUAGUUACCACGCUUCAAUCAAAAUGCCACCAUACGAAGCAUUAUAUGGUCGCAAGUGUCGUACUCCAUUAUGUUGGCGAGACAUAGGACAGAAGAUCCUUGGAGGCCCUGAAAUGAUUCAAGACACCACCGACAAAAUUCAAAUCGUACGAGAAAGAAUGAAAGCGGCCCAGGAUCGACAGAAGUCCUAUACAGAAAAGAGAAGACGACCCAUAGAAUUCCAAGUGGGUGAUUUCGUGAUGCUGAAGGUAUCUCCAUGGAAAGGCCUUAUGAGAUUUGGGAAGAAAGGAAAGUUAAGUCCUAGAUUUGUUGGUCCUUUCAAAAUCAUCCAGAGAAUUGGAAAGCAAGCAUACCGCUUAGAAUUACCUGAAGAUUUGGCAGGUAUUCAUGAUGUGUUUCAUGUGAGCUAUCUGCGCAAAUGCUUGAGCAUCAAUGAUGAGACAGUUCCAUUAUCCGAGGUGAAAUUGGAUAAUAAGUUAAGAUAUGUAGAAGAGCCGGAAGAGAUCGUGAAUGAAAGAACAACUAAUCUACGUAAUAAAGAAGUGGAGUUGGUGCUUGUCAAGUGGAAACACCAUCGAGGCCCAAAUUAUACUUGGGAAAAUAAGAAUGAGAUAAGAGCAAAAUAUCCCCAUUUAUUUUAAUCGAUGUAAUUUCGGGGACGAAAUCCUCAAAAGGAGGAGGUAUUUGUAACAUACACGUUUUGAAAUCGUGUUUUAAGUAAAUAAUAUUAUGAAAUAUUAUGUGAAUUUGAAUGUUGAGUUCUAACAGAUAGUUUUUACUAGAAAUGAAGUAAAACUAUGUUUAGAAUCACUCAUAAAAUGUUGGAAGUCUUAUGAGAUUCCAAUUAAAAGCCAAAUAGUGAAAUAUAGCGAAAAUAUAAAAUUUGGAAUAAGUAAAAUUUUAUUAUUGAAAGUUGUAGAUAAUCUCGUUAGAAACAUUUAGGCGAAAACCUCAUCGAAAUCCGAGUUAUAACGAAGAAGUUAUGACCAAACGAAGAUCCGUGAUAAAUCCGGAAAAUACCUUGUCGCGUAAAAAUUUAGUUUUCGAUAAACUAAUUUUUAGCCUUAGUGAUGUAAAUGAAAGUUGUAGAACUCGUGAAAAUAAUCAACUUUCAUAUAAAGACCGUUUGAAUCUGAUUUCGUAUGAGAAAGUUAUGAUUUUUCGAAGUUUCAGCUUAGCAGUAGACAACUAAAAACUUGAAUUUUAGAUCGAUUGAUUUUUAGCCGACACAACCUAAACGAGAAUUGAAGGUCUCGUCAUUAGUAGUGCAACGGUAAAAAGUCUGACGAAAACGGACGUCGGAUGAAGAAGUUAUGAAUUUUUAACGGAUUUUCCUGUCCCGGUCUGUUAAAAAUAAUAAUAUUAAAAUUAAAGUCAAAAUUAGCCAACGAAGUCUAAACGAAAGUUGUAGAGCAUAAUUUUAGCUUCGCGUUCAUAUAAAGAACGUCAAAAAUGGAGCUCGUAUGUGAAAGUUAUGGAUUUUACAAGAUUUGACACAUUUUUCGAGAAAUUUCGCAUGAAUAGUGAUUGCCACGUCACCCUCGCUCGGAGUUGGCCACGUGUACGAAGCUGCUGCGUGGCAAUGCCAGAGAAGCGACGCGUGUCGCACAGAUGUCCGAAAGGCCACAUGAUCCUCGCAUCCCACACGUGAUCCGACCCUCGUGUCAUCCUCCCAUUGGACCGAAGUUGGGUCCAAUCCGAAGCUACCAUCUGCGAGCCAGCUGUUCCGACCCUCGCACCCGAAGCCUCGCCCUGCUGCCAGCUGGUCCGAGCCUCGCAGCCACCUGCCUCCCUCGCAUGCGCGCCAUCUGGAGCCCCUCGCUGCUGCCGCGUGUUUCUCUUGGCUUCGGAUCCGAGCUCCUCCUCCCCUAUAAAUAGAGGGCCUGUGAGACCUCUCGGGUAGUUUGAAAAUUUUGGCAAUUUCACCCCUCUUUUUGAGAUUUUUACUAUUCCAACUUCCCCCGAAGCCACGGUACUGAUUCCAAAGCCCGAAACACGCCCCGAGACUCCCGAAAAGCCCGAAAAAUUUAUCUUUUCGGUAUCGAAGCUCUACUUUCGCAGAGCCCGGUUUUCAAGAAAACUCCCGGUUUUCAACGACGAAAAUCAUAUUUAGAGCCGAAGUACUGCCCAAAUUAAUAUUUUAGCCCCCAGUUAUUUCACGGUGAGCUUAAUAUAUAGGAACAAUUGUAUGUCAUGUGCUAUAUGUGCUACGUGCUUUUCAGUGUUAUUAUUCCGGGUUAUUUUCCCGAGUUAUUUUUAUUUGCUAUUUUAAUAGCAAAGAAAUACCUUUGACCAUGUGAUCAGUGAAAGGACUUAGAUUCACAUUGGUACUGGUAUGUAGCCUCUGGCCAUGUAGAACAUGUCUCCGUAAGAGAAUGAAUUCUUUUCUAUGGUAUUGGCAGAAGGUUAGACAGGGCUUUAAGCCUGAAAUCUACCAAAAUGUUAAUCCGAAGUUGUAUAUCUUCUGUGCCGUUUGGGCCAAAGCUUUAUUGAUGUAUAUCAAGCAUGGAAAUUGUUAUGUCUCAUUGAUUGUAUAUCUUUAAAUCAAAUCAAUGAUUGAUAUGGAAUGUUUGUCACAUGAUUCACAUAUGUCGUUGUUGUUCCUUGAUCCUCUUUGCUUCUGCCAUAUCGAAGUAUAUAUAUGACAUAACGUUAUAUUGUAUCUAUUAUUGAACUCACUAAUCGUCACUGCUUACCCUCUCAAUGUUUAACUAAUUUGCAGGAGAUAAGCAUCCAGUAUGGUUAUAUAAUGGUAGAAGAUUUUUGAAUAGUUUGAAACUAUUGUAUCGAUAGAAGUUUAUGAAUAGUUUGAAACUAUUGUAUUUUGCACUCCCAUAUAUAUAAAACUAUAGAAUCCUGGGAAGUUAUGUAAUAUAUAACACUUUAAAAUAGUCGGUUUGUAUCCAGUAGUUUGUAACCUCUUUAUCAAUGUAAAAUAUUGUUUUUAUGAAUAUGCAAGUAGCAUGUUUUGGAGUAACUAUAUUGUCGUGUAUGAAAGUUUGGGUCUUUCAUAAAUACGAAAGUUAGGGUCUUUCAUCUUACCAAUUAUAGUUAUGGACUUAGACAUUAAUCCAACAUUCUCCCACUUAUAUAAGUCUAAAAAUAUUAUUGCGUAAGACUUUAAGAACCGACUGGCAAUCGUAGCUCUCAAAAACUUCUGUCGAACUCUGACCUUGUAGAUGAACUCUGACCUUUGUCAAUGACUUGUCCAUUAGAUAAGGGAUCAUAUAUUCCUCCAUUCUAGAUAUCAUAUGGACUGAGACAUGGAUUAUAAUCAUUCUCUCUAUCCAUUUGUUGUUUCCCGAUUUCUGAUUUAUGACGACUGACUAAUUGAACAAAUCAAAUCAGUCCUGGCCCGGCCGAGCACUUCCAUUUGUCAUCAUCAAAUCAUCGAGGGGCCCACAGAUAUCGCUUUUAUCCCGAAGGUAAAAGGAAUGGAUAAACUUCGACUCAUAUGGCUUGUUCUACUACUUGUUGAAUCAUACACAAAGGCACGUUUUAUAGCACCGAGUUACCAAAUGCGUUUUCGUGCAAUCAAUGUACAACCAACUCAUAGUAACAACUCAUAUCUCUAGGUUUGAAAAAUAUAAGAUAGUAUCGUCUCAUCAUCACUCGUGAUAAAAUCCUUGAAGUGAUUCCAAUGAGCGCGGGUUGAAUCCAAUACUCAGAACUUAUGAGCACUUGAGUGUUGUAGCACAACUUUGUCCACCAACUUGGACCUCUACAAGCCUACCCAUGACUUNUGCCAACCCAUGACAGUCUUGAUUCAUAUCUACUUCCAACAUAUGACCGACUGUGGAUGCUUUGAAUAUCUUAGUCAUUGCGGAAGAAUAACCUAGUUUAUUCUGGAUGUCAAAACAUAAAAACUGAAACACAAGAAUAAUUGAAUCUAAUAUGGUAUCAAAACCUAUGAACAUAAAUAAAACACCUUUUAUUUAUCACCAUAUGAUUAUAUAUUAUUCAUGUACACUGUUUCAGCCUAUCAACUUUAUUCUUGAAUUUAAAACAAUAGUUGUCCCAUGCUCCAAGCAUGUACACUAUGUUUUCUUAAACACUAGUCAUGCCACACACCAAGUAUGCAUACUAUGUUUGUCUAUGAUCUUUACUUUGUGAACUAGAUCAAUUGAACAUAACUUCAAUGAUUCUCUUUUCACACUCCCAAAUCCUUACUGCAAAUGCAAGAAUUCCAAAUUCAUGCCAUUUACUGAAAUUUGUUAGAUUGUAAACUUAUAUGCACUGAUCCUCUUAUAUUGAUUAUGCACAAAUUCAGAAAGUCUUGACAACAACCAUUACAGAGCAUUCCAAAGGAGAUCAGCUCCUUGGAAAUAUCCUUCUUGCAUUAAGUUUCCUUAACUUACACAGAUUGAAUAAUUUCUAACUUUGAAACAUUUCCAUAUUCCAUUUUGACUAUCACUUCUGAACAAGAGUUGCCUCCUUACAGAUUAUGUCAAUAUGGUCCUUCCAGAAUUAUCACUAUACUUCCAACUGUCCUUGAGCAACCAAUCUUUGGUAAACCUUAGAUUGUCCUCGACAAUUGUUUAAUCCUUUUAGUCAUAUCCAGUUCUAAACCUUUUCCCUUCUUAAUGCCCCAGGCAUUUGGAAAAUUUUAGAAAGGAUGAAUAUAGCACAUGUAAUCGAUCCUAUAUCCGAAGCAUAUGGGACACGAUUCAUGAUGUCUCACAUAAAGACUAAACCAGUCUUUUGCUAUAAUAUUUCCAUUUCAAUUUGCCAAGUUCUCAUAAUUCAGAUUAUGAAAAGGGAUGCCGUAAUCAUAAUCGAAUUUUAGAACGCAAAUAAUGGACCCAUAUACAGAAUUUCCUUAUGUUGAGCCAUUCCAACAUGAAAUUCAUAUAUAUCCUUGACUAAAUGAUUAAAACCUCACGAUCUAAGCUUAUAGAUUUGAGAUGAAGUAUAAUUUCCUCUCCCUUAAUUAUAGCAAAACAACCUUUUCCCAAUUGAAACUUUUUUUUUUCUAUAAUUAACAUUGCUAACUUGCCAUACUUAUCAUAAUUAUCAUGCUCCCGCUAACAUGAUGAUUAUUAGCAUAACACUUAUGCUCCCACUAGCUUUAACAUGUACUCAGAAAUCAGCUAGACUUCUAGAAAUCAAUACUUUAUUGACUUUCUUACCAAAGUUCAGAUUUCUAAUACUAGAUUGCUUUGAUAAAACUUUAUCAAUAUUAUACACCUUAUCUUAGAUAGCUCACAUGUGUGUCUAAACAAUUUCAAAACUAUGAAAAGGGAUGUCGUAAUCAUAGUCUUGAUUGUUUACACCUUUGCCACUUCUCACAAGUUCAUGUUAGUGUGCUGGUAAACCACACACGCUCCACUAACGACUUUGAGAAUGCAAAUAUCACAAUUGCUAU
RNAcentral lists this long non-coding RNA (37236 nucleotides) under Lactuca sativa (garden lettuce). RNAcentral describes it as "long non-coding RNA (LSAT_LNC004173)". The record is from RNAcentral. Lineage: Eukaryota; Viridiplantae; Streptophyta; Magnoliopsida; Asterales; Asteraceae.